Molecule: long non-coding RNA, 1463 nt
Organism: Callithrix jacchus (white-tufted-ear marmoset)
Lineage: Eukaryota; Metazoa; Chordata; Mammalia; Primates; Cebidae
Source: RefSeq, a predicted model, not a curated record
UCUGGCCCCGGCCCGUUGCCUCAGCAGCCCAGUCCCGCCCCACGCCAAGGCUGCUGAGGCGACGGUCAGGGGCCAGAGGAAGACCCCUGACUCCUUCCUUGCACGCGUCCUGCUUCCGUGUUUCGACGCCUCGCCUUGCUCUCCUCAGCUCCUCGGAAUGCGUGGGGGCUUCUUACUACCUCAGUGUCCGUCGCCCUCCACUAAAUCGCGACUCUGGGAAGGAUCAUGCUGGCUUCAGUAGGUAGAUCCGAUGGAAGGAAGCAAGAGAGGAAGGGGCUGCAUAGUCCAGAAUGCAGCAGAGAGAUGGUAAAAAUUCUCCGUCUAAGCCUCAACAUGCAUUGCAUGUCUCAGCUCUUUCUUUUGAAGUCCUGUCCCACUACAUAUGAAAUGACCUGAGCUAGCCUUCUGGAGGACAAGAGAUCACAUGGAAUAGAGAUGAGCCAUCCCAGCAGAAGUUAUUCUACGUUAUCCAGGAACCAGCCAAUUGAGCAGCUGGCCUCAGACUCAUGAAUAAACUCAGCCAAGACCAGGUGAACAACUCACCUAAGCUUAGCACAAAUUGUUGACUUGCAGAAUUGUGAGCUAUAUAAAUACUUGCUAUUUUAAACCACAAAGUCUUUGGGGAUAGUUUGUUAUUUGGCAAAAGCUAACAAAUUAAAAUAAAUUGAACAAAUGUAGGAGUCAAAGCAUGAAAUUGGAUGGAGAAGGGCUUAAAAGAAAAGGGAAAUAUGUGAGACAAAUGAGAAAGAGUGCUGACCUUUGUUGUUCUAGAUGGUAGGUACAUGUGUUUCUUGUAUCCUUCCCUCUAAUUUUCUUUAUUUAAAGUUUUUAUCACUAAAGAAAUUAGGUUAAAUUAUAACUUUAAAGUGAAAAGAAUAAUGUUGGAGUUCCAAAAGGCUACGGCUCUGUCUCCUGUCCACACUCUCAUUAGGUGAUUAUACUCAUUUCCACAACUUUAAAUACUUUGGUAUGUUGAUAACUUCCAAAUUUAUAUGUUUAGCUCAGACCUCUCUUCUGAGCUCCAGACUCAUAUUUCCAGUUGCCUGCUUGACAUUUACACUUGGAUGUCUCUCAGGUGUCUCAAAUAUGACUUAUUUAAAAUCGAUCAUUUAAUCUUUCCCUCCGUUGUGGCCAGUUCCCAGGAUAGCCCACAGUGAUCCCUGCCUUGGGUGCUCACAUUGUAUGUCCCUUUCACACUGCAGCAGGAUUGAUAUGUGUUACCAUAAAAUUGUGCAGAAGUGACAGUGUGUGACUUCCAAGGCUAGGUCGUAAAAGACACUGUGGCCUUACUCUUUUUUCGGAUCACUUGCUCUGGAGGACACCAGCUGCCCUGUCACUGAGACACUCAAGCAGCCCCACAGAGAGGUCCAUGUGGUAAGGAACUGAGGCCUCAGCCAUGUGAGCGGGCCAUCUGCCCACUCCAGCUUUCCUUAUUUAGCUCAGGUUAGCUGAAGCCUGGCUGG